CCGGGGUCCCCCUGGGCGGGCUCCCUCAGGUAGUCCUCGAAGCACACCUGCCGGGCUUCGCCGCCACCCCCGAACCCCCAGAGGCGGUUGGCCGUGCCCCGCAGAAGGCGCCCGCUCUUCCCCGUGAUCGUGAUCAGAUGCCUCUGCCCCUGCCUUAGCAACCAAGGAUACACACUACCUGCAUCAGAUGGGACAGUUAUGAGAUGUCGGUACCACCUCCAACAGCCUGGAUCCCUGAGAAGCUGUGUGGAUCAGAGCUCCCCCACCCCCAACCAGAAUUGGGACGAGAAGAACAGACGCCAAUGGCUAUGGCAGUUGCAAAAACAACACCAAAAACCAGCUUCAUGCUCAGAAGAAAACACUGUGUCUUCUCCUCGUGGUUUCAGGUGCUCUACACAUUCCGAGAAACUUCUCUAGUCAAGAACUAUAGAAAUGAUCCCUGAAAGUACAGUCGUUGCACAUUUGUUUAAUAAUCCUGACCUAUAAUAUGGCUAUUUGGAUUCUCCUUUGAACUGGGGUAACAUCUUACUGGAUCCCUCAUUAAUGAGUUAAAUAAAAUAUUUAAUG
This is a long non-coding RNA of Phyllostomus hastatus (greater spear-nosed bat), 567 nucleotides long. RefSeq lists it as uncharacterized. NCBI's taxonomy places the organism in Eukaryota, Metazoa, Chordata, Mammalia, Chiroptera, Phyllostomidae. The transcript is spliced from 3 exons. The record is from RefSeq and is a predicted model, not a curated record.